CUUCACAUCCAGCAGCUCCAGGGCAGUGACCCGGGGUUCCCCAGCCAGAUUCUGCAGGAUCUUCAGCCUUGGCCCACAGUGUUUGUAGAAUUCUGUGCAAAUAUUCAGCAGAGAUUCCCGGGGCCUUCUGAAUUCUUCUCGAGCAAUUCGUUCAUCUAGCUCUUCUCUGGGAAGGCCUUGCCCUUCCUCCAGAUUCCUUUCAUUUCCAGGCACUGAAAUGCAACCUAGAGGCCACAGAAGCACAGAGCACAGUAACAUGGAACCAAUGCCUCCAAGACCAUGAGCAUCUGAAGGCUGUAAGCAACAGAGAGAAAACAAAGGCACAUCUGACUGGGUUGUGUGAUAUCCGGGAGCAUGAAAAAGCCACUAGAGACACUGAAUUCUAUUCUCCUUCCUGUGCAACACCAAUCCAAAGCAGUGGAGGCUGCUGGAUGUGUUUACUAUCAUUAAUUAAUUAAGCACUUGGUAACAGGUGAGGAAGCCUGUCUUAAUGAAGCAUAUGAGAUAAGAAGAACUAGCCAUUUGUGCAAAUGGCAAAAGAAGAGCAGAAUAUUGGCAGGACCCCACUGACCAUCCAGAAUAAAAGCCUUCGCUCCCCAGUAAAGCCUCUAUAUAGUAAGGUGCUGGGGGUGACUUUUCAGCUGAAGUUAGAGCCUAUCCUAAGAAGCUGCCUUCAGAAGCUUAAACCAUUUCAUAGCAAGAGUUGGUAGAUGCUCUUAUUUUCCUGUGGUCUGGUAAUGUGUCCUUACUAGAGUGAGUAGACACUAUUCAUUGGAUAGGGUGUACAUUUGGUGUAGUAAAAGAGGUUAGAAACCUCAACUUAAAGAGAAGACGAAAAAUUGUUGGUGUACAACUCCAACAUAAAUAUUUUGUUAUAAGAUUCACCCAAACGAGUUUCAGUUCUUAAGCUGCUCGUUUUAGGAGACAUUGCUCCAUUGAUGGUAUUCUGGAAAACCUGGAACCACUGCAUUAUCCAUUCCCUUCCUCAAAAUUCUGAGACAUUCUGACAUGUCUUUUUCAGCUCUGAGUACUGCUUUCUGAUGGGAUAACUGCAUAGAAUCAGUGCUCUACAGUAAAGUAUGACAAUCUUCAGAACUUGGUGGGUAUGGAGUUACAGCUAUGAUAUAUUUUUAGGUCCUAAUACUUCUGUGAUAGUCUUAGAAAAAGAGUCAAGUGUAUUUCCUGAAAAAAUAAAAGAUUUUGUUAUAGGCUAACUGUCCUAGAAAGGUUGGGUGAGUUUUAAAAUUAUGACAGGAAUCUGGUAGAAGCUAAGACUUCUGGGUAUUUUCUGUAAAGACCACAUUUCUGUAGAAGAAGAAAUCUGUUUAAGUCAAGCUGACAUACAGCAUCGAACAUUGUCCUUUGCCCUCCAUAUGUAAGUACACACAUGUAUACAGGUAUAUGUAUCUACUGGCACAUGAACAUGCAUACACAUACACACACUCUCAUACACACAAGCAUACACACACACACUCUCAUACACACACAGACACACACAAACUAACCAGCUUUGUAAAGAACUAAUACCAUUUCUUGUGUCAAAGAGAACAAGAUACAUAUUAACAUGAGAUAGGCAUUUACUAGUUGAUAAGUAGCAGACAUUGCUGGUGGAAAUGAAAACUGACACAGCCAGUUCAGGAACCCUGUUGGUGAUAUCUACUAAAGCAAAACAUGCAUGUACUUUAUGAUCUAGCAAAGUAUUUUCACACACAGAAAUGCUGAUAUGAAGCCGGGCGGUGGUGGCACACGCCUUUAAUACCAGCACUCGGGAGGCAGAGGCAGGCGGAUCUCUGUGAGUUCGCGA
This is a long non-coding RNA of Arvicola amphibius (Eurasian water vole), 1804 nucleotides long. RefSeq lists it as uncharacterized. The transcript is spliced from 3 exons. NCBI's taxonomy places the organism in Eukaryota, Metazoa, Chordata, Mammalia, Rodentia, Cricetidae. The record is from RefSeq and is a predicted model, not a curated record.